Dama dama (fallow deer) is the source of this 107-nucleotide small nuclear RNA. The record is from RefSeq and is a predicted model, not a curated record. NCBI's taxonomy places the organism in Eukaryota, Metazoa, Chordata, Mammalia, Artiodactyla, Cervidae.
GUGCUCGCUUUGGCAGCAUAUAUACUAAAGCUGGAACAAUCCAGAGAAGAUUAGCACGGCCCCUGAGCAAGGAUGACAUGCAAAUUCCUGAAGCAUUCCAUAUCUUU